RNAcentral lists this ribosomal RNA (468 nucleotides) under uncultured bacterium. Its description in RNAcentral is "partial 16S ribosomal RNA". It matches the Rfam family "Bacterial small subunit ribosomal RNA", at positions 28 to 507 of the family's 1533-position model. The record is from RNAcentral.
GACGAACGCUGGCGGCGCGCUUAACACAUGCAAGUCGAACGGAAAGGCCCUGCUUUUGUGGGGUGCUCGAGUGGCGAACGGGUGAGUAACACGUGAGUAACCUGCCCUUGACUUUGGGAUAACUUCAGGAAACUGGGGCUAAUACCGGAUAGGAGCUCCUGCUGCAUGGUGGGGGUUGGAAAGUUUCGGCGGUUGGGGAUGGACUCGCGGCUUAUCAGCUUGUUGGUGGGGUAGUGGCUUACCAAGGCUUUGACGGGUAGCCGGCCUGAGAGGGUGACCGGCCACAUUGGGACUGAGGUACGGCCCAGACUCCUACGGGAGGCAGCAGUGGGGAAUAUUGCACAAUGGGCGGAAGCCUGAUGCAGCAACGCCGCGUGCGGGAUGACGGCCUUCGGGGUGUAAACCGCUUUCGCCUGUGACGAAGCGUGAGUGACGGUAAUGGGUAAAGAAGCACCGGCUAACUACGUG